RNAcentral lists this unclassified non-coding RNA (217 nucleotides) under Hevea brasiliensis (rubber tree). Lineage: Eukaryota; Viridiplantae; Streptophyta; Magnoliopsida; Malpighiales; Euphorbiaceae. The record is from RNAcentral.
CUUGUUGCCAAAUCUUCCUUUCCAACCCAGUUAUAACCCAAGGAUAUCCAAGUAACAUGUAUAUACAACAUUCUGCUAUUGCUUGUGGCACAGGUACAGAGCAAUAAACAACCAUGGAUGACCUCUAGCCCUCUGCUCUCGUGCAUACAGCAACAAAUUACCAUAAUACCCUUUGUCCAGAUUAAAUUAUUGGACUUUCAGCUCUUUCCAUAUCCAA